Mobula hypostoma (lesser devil ray) is the source of this 5015-nucleotide long non-coding RNA. RefSeq lists it as uncharacterized. Lineage: Eukaryota; Metazoa; Chordata; Chondrichthyes; Myliobatiformes; Myliobatidae. The transcript is spliced from 4 exons. The record is from RefSeq and is a predicted model, not a curated record.
CUGAAAAUAUAUCAUUGACUUUAGCUAUCACAUGGGCCAUUGAUUUUUGACGGCACUGCAUUCAGACUUGGAACUGACUCUAUUCACUAAUGUGUCUUAUCUCACCAUUGUUUUAGAUGUGCUUGGACAGGUUCUUGGCAUGUGAAUAUAACAGGACUCUCUCCUCUCCCCUUCAGCAAUCAAGAUAAUGUGUUACAACAGAAAAUAUGAUUGCUGCAUUCUUCCAUCACUUGCCACAAGCUGUAAAAGCCCGUGGAAUAACAUCCAUCACCUGUUCCAACCCUAAUACACCUUCCCUAUUAAGGAAUGGUUUGGUUUUAAUGACUGCAUUUAGCCGGAAUUGCUGACAAAACAAGCCCAAUUAAAGUAUGUAAAGGAACUCAACAGCACAGUUAAUGCUGCUGGGGUUGGAAGCAUGAACUUUGUGUGCAGCCUGCAGUGGAUUGAAUAAUCAAGGAUCAGCUCACCUUUUCCACCAUUAUCCAAUUUAGUAAUUUUUUUUAAAAUUAAGCAUCUGGCAUGGGAAUAUUUACCGGAGAAACUUUCCUUUUCUUACAAUAUGGAGAAGCCAUUGAGCCCAGCAAGCCCAUGCAGUUGAUAGAACAAUCUCAAUCCUCCUCUAAUUUUCCAUAGGACUGAUUCUUUCUGUAUUUCCAUCAAACUUUCUCUCGGUUCUACCACUCACCUACACACAAGAGGCAAUUUACAGUGGCUAAUUUAUUUACCAACCCAGAUAAAUUGGAUAUAGGAAAUCAACUGAACUGCACAGCGAAAACGCAUGAUGUCACAAGGAAGUGCAGACUCCAGAGGUAAGGAUUAAACCUGGAUCGCUGGAGGUGUGAGGCAGAACCUCUGAUAGCUCAGCCCCUGUGUUGCCUUCAGGACACAUGUGUCAUUCUUAAAACUUCAGAAAUCUCAAAAAAUGCUACAGAUUAAUUCAACCUGACUACAAGACGGACUCCUUUGAGUUAGUGGUAGAGAGGAGGUCAUUGAACAAACUGUUAUCCAGUAUGGACAAUCUGGCAUAUCCUCUCCAUGAUGUACUGAAUAAACAGUGGAGCACCCUUUCAAACAGACUCGUUCAGCUCCACAGUCACAAGGAUCGUUAUAGGAAAUCUUUCCUGCCAAAUGCAAUAAGCAUAUACAACAGUUCAUCUCUGUGUGACAGGAGAACACACAUCAAAGUACAAUAAUAUCUGUACACUGCAGGCUGCAUGCAAAGUUAUUUUGUACCUUAUUAUUGCAAAUUAUUGCACAUCGGUUCUCCAGAUUCUGGAAAAUUUUCAAUGGACUGGAAAAUUGAAAAGAUAAAACCCUUAUUCAAGAAUUUGGGGAGAAAAAUCAGCAGGAGAGCCCAACUUUAAACGCGUGGAAGGAAAUUACAAAGGACAUUUACAAAAUGGAGAAGAUAACAGCAUCUGUUAAUCAAUGAAACUCGGAGCCAUUCUCAGGUACCUCAACAUGGUUGAUCACAUGGCCGCACCAUCACUGUGGCGGCACCCUGUUUAUUCUGUCUUCACAAUAUGAGCCACUGGCACCAUUAAAGUUCUCUGUUGUGGCAGUUAUUGAAGUAACUCUGACAAAUUAGACUUUACAUCAAUGUUGUAACCCUUACAGUGAUAACAACUGCUUCAAAUCUCUAACUAAUCACAAAUUAAACCACAAGAAAUCAAUGUAAGAACACGUUUAAAUAACAAGGGAGAUGGCAGAACAAACAGAAAUAUUGAAAAAAAUGCUUUUUGCUUUUAUUCUUAAGCUACUGUCAGUGGCCUCGUUAUUAGCUACAUCAGUACACUUGCUCGUUUAUGCAAAUAUCCAAUCAACCAAUUACAGUGCAGCAACUCAAUGCAUAGAAGUAUGCAGACAUGGUUAAGAGGUUCAGUUGUUGUUCAGACCAAACAUCAGAAUGGGAAGAAAUGUGAUCUAGGUGGUUCUGACUGUAGAAUGAUUGUUGGUGCCAGACAAUGCGGUUUGAGUAUCUCAGAAACUGCUGAUCUCCUGAGAGUUUUACAAACAACAGUCUCUAGAGGUUACAGAAAUUGGUGUGAUAAACAAAAAAAACACCCAGAGAGUGGCAGUUCUGUGGGCAAAAACACCUUGUUAAUGACAGAGGUCAGAGGAGAAUACUUUUAUACUUUAUACUUUACUUUAUACUUUAUUGGCUGGACUGGUUCAAGCUGACAGGAAGGCAAUAGUAACUCAAAUAACUACAUGUUAGCACAGCAGUGUGCAGAAGAGCAUCUCUCAAAUGCACAACACAUGGAACAUUGAAAUGGAUGGGCUACAGCAGCAGAAGCCCAUACUGAGUUCCAAGGUGUACCAAUUAAGUGGCCAUUGAAUGUAUUUAGCUCAUAUAUUUUAUUUCAGAUUGUUAUACUGUAACUAGGUUGAACAUAUGCUAUUUAUUAAGUAGUAUAGUUUACAGUAUUUAUGCAGUUAUUAAAGAAAGCACAUUAAGUGGACCAACAUAAAAUUCUAAGUCUAUUCCAUUAGUGAGAAAGUUCAUGUUCAUUGGCUAUACCACUUUACAAGUGAAGUAAUGCACAGCUUCUCAUGAAUAAUUUUUAGACACAAAUAAACAUUAGAAAUAACGGCUUUAAAACAGAAUUAUAAACAGAUGCUUUUGGUGCUGAAGUACUCUCUUGGCAGAAGUUGGUGAGUUCAGAACAUAGUGUUACAGAGUAAAACAGCACAAAAUAUAACCUCAAUCCACCACAACCUAUGCUAACUGUUACACAAGUCUAUAAAGUAUAAUAUCAUUUGUCUACAUUAGUAACUCUGUCCCUUGGCUAUUCCAAAGGAGAUGGAGGAUGCCUCUUAAGUGCUGUGAUUUUAUCUGCCUUCACCAUCUCCUCUGGCAGUGCUUUCCAGAUAUCAAUCACUGUCUUUGUGAAAACCAUUCCUCUCUUUAUACUCUCAUGUUAAACCCAUGCCAUCUUGUGUUAGACGUGCCCGACAUGGGAGAAAGAUUUUUACUAUUUACCUGAUCUAUGCCUCUCAUGAUUUUAUAUACCUCUAUCGGGUCCUUCAGCUUUCUACGCCCCAGACUAUCCAAUCUGUCUUUCUAACCAAAGCCCUCCAAUCCAGGCAACAUCGUAGUGAAUCUCCUCUGCACCCUCUCUACACAGUCAUAUCUUUCUUAUAGUGUGAUGACCAGAACUACUCAUGAUACUGCAUGUGAUAAAGGUAAGCAUGCCUUAUGCCUUCUUCACCUCCUCAUCCACCAGUGCUAUCACUUACAUAGUACUAUGUAUCCAAGGUCUUUCUGUUCAUCAACAGUCCUUAACACUCUACUACUUUCUCUAUAUGCCCUAGUUUUGGUCAAUUUCCCACAAUUUGAUAGAUUUUAUUAGUUCAUGUAAAUCCAAUAUCUGGCAACCUCUCACUGGGGUUGAGGGGGAAUAAUAAACCAGCGGUGCUGGAACGGUGGAGCAGACUCGAUGGAAUGAAUGGUCUAAUUCUGGUCUUCUGUCUGAUGGUCCUAUUAUUUUUAAAAAAUCCUCAUUGAUAAAUUUAGUAAUCCAAAGAUCAGAGUAGAAAUUAAGGGCAGAAGAAUGGACAACAAGAAAGACUAAUUCAAAAAAUUGAAAAAAGCAAUUUGGUAGAAGAGAGGAAAACAUGAAUCACAUUAUUUUGGAGGAGACUCUUUGCUGAGCACUGGGACAACAGAAUCUGUCUCCCUCACUAUUGAGCUUAGAGGCCUUAAAAAUAGUGAUAUACCUACUGACAUCACUUGAGCCCUCUUUUCCAUCGCCACACUAAAAUAAUUCCUGCUUUCCAUGUGGCCUUUGAAUCCUCUUUCUAUACUCCCCUACCUAACUACCUCUUUGCAGCAGGUCCUGGUUCACUCCCACAACCUUCAGUAUCUUGCAACCUUUUUCUUAAGCAUUCUUUUGUUCUCCAAUUUCCCGGCGAUUCAUGACCUCAAUUACAUCUCCAUUUCAAACUCCUGGCUUUUCUGCUCAAUCACAGAUUCAUCCCACCCUGCCACAAACCUCUGUUCCAAAAGCUGGUUUUGGAUGCCUCAUCCCUUGCUACAGGCCCAACCACCUUUGUGGCCAAGACCCUGUGGCCAGCCCCGGGACAGAAGAAUUAGAUGGCUCAUUUCCUCUGUGAAAAUAUAUACCUCAUGCUCUACUCUGUCCAAGACCCUGAGUUUCAAUUACAAUUGAGAUCUGAUGGUGCACACCUCGCAGAUGCACUAGAAUUUCUAAACUGCAAUUUUACAUGGCUCACUAUCGUGAAUCAAUGAACUGGGACUAUGGUUUUAUACACCUGUCUCUGGGAUGUGCUGUCUAACAAAUCACCCACCAAAAACUCGGAAAUGUAUCCUCUUAAUCUUAUGAUGGAAGUAAAAGUAAAGCAUACACAUUGAUAAAAGAGUUCCUGAUUUCUGCCUGAUUCAAAAAUGUAAAUAAGCAAAGAGUACAAGAUGUCAGUCCCACAUAACCAUCUGCAUUAUGCAUUGAUGACCAAAUACAAUGUCCUGAUGGCAUUUCAAUUAUCUCUGAGAUUGAGUGGACAAAGAUUAUUGGUCACCUAUCUAUACUUACCCGCACAAAUUUCAUCAUCCUUAAUCUUAUAUACAUCCAGAUUGUUUUUUUUAAUUCAAGUUAUUUAAGAGAAUAGCAUGUUUUUUUUGGGUAGUUUCCAGGAUGAAUGUCAAUGUACUUGGAUUUGUGUUACUGACCAGUUAAUUGUUUUAAAAUGAUAGAACAGAAUACUUAGAAUCAGCUUUAUGGACAAUUACAAAGGCAGUUCAAAUCUUACAUUUUAAGGGACUGUCUGCUAGAAAAAGUGCAUCGGGUAUCUGCUUUAGCUGAAUGUAUGUAACAUAUUAGUAAAAAUAAGGCCUUGACUGAUGAUUUUGUUCAUAUUUAACAAUGUGUAUUACAAUUAAAUUUUAAAUGAAGUAACAUGAAUUGUAUAUUUUAAGAUAAAUACUAACUUAUUACUGUAGACAAGUGCUCCUUAUGGAGUCUUUGUAAGCUCUGGUAAUUGACUGCAUUUGGACU